Molecule: long non-coding RNA, 742 nt
Organism: Canis lupus familiaris (dog)
Lineage: Eukaryota; Metazoa; Chordata; Mammalia; Carnivora; Canidae
Exons: 3
Source: RefSeq, a predicted model, not a curated record
UACAGAACAACUAUCUAGAAUUCUACCAAACCCACACUGAACUUCUGGAUAACUAAGUGCCCUCUAGCCUAUAAACCUAACUUUUGUAAAUGAUAAAUUCAGAAAUUACUCCAAGAAUCAAUAAAUAUUCAUUCAAUGUCUAUUAAUGCCACAAUAAUGCUAGAGAGGCCACAGAAGAGACAGGCCUUACAAAAUGCUACAGUUAGGUCUGAACGUGUUGUUGAAGAAAGUCACCAAACAGAAUUUCAGACAGUGGAUGCAGUACAAGUCCACCAUCUUGUGGCUGAAAAAUGAAAUGCUAGCUGAUUUUCCACCAGUACUAUCUGAAGUCGGAAAAAAUAUUAGAGAAAAUAGCUUGGAAUUUUAAAAUCUAUACCAAGUAAUUUUUCCAAGAUGUAGGCUUUGCAACUACUUCCAGAGCUCUCUAAAACAAUUUAAAGAUUUUCACCAAAGAGCAUGAAAGAGAUGAUAUACACAAAAAAAGGAAACGUUUUAAAGUUAAUCUCUACGCCCAACAUAGGUCUUGAACGCAUGUUCCUAAGGAUCAAGAGUUGCAUGCUAUUCGACUGAGCCAGCCAGGAACAAAUUACACUUCUCACAAAAGAUUUUCCAUAGAUCUCACAGGCCUUUCCACCAUGUAAGAAUACAAAUCUGUAAUCCAGAAGAGCCCUCACUCAAUCAUGCUGACACCCUGAUCUCAGACUACAGAACUAAAAAAUAAAUUUAUGUUGUUUAUAAACUA